This is a non-coding RNA of Plectropomus leopardus (leopard coralgrouper), 1364 nucleotides long. The record is from RefSeq and is a predicted model, not a curated record. NCBI's taxonomy places the organism in Eukaryota, Metazoa, Chordata, Actinopteri, Perciformes, Serranidae.
UGGAGGACGCCACCCUGCGGGCUGCACUGGGGAAGGAACAUCCCGCACACCAGCCUCUGCAAGGGCUCAAAGCACGCCAGCUCCAUCAGCACCUGGAUGAAAAAAUGGAGAAAAGAGGAGUGUAAAAAGGAUGACAGAGAGACAAAACUGUGCCUGCGACUGUGAUCGGGGUCAGAGAUAACAGGGACUCACUGAAAGGAGGGUAGGUGGAGUUGCCACAGCCCUCCUCGUCUGCUCCGUCAGGGCAGUCGUUCCAUCCGUCACACAGCCACUGCCGCUGAAGACACUCGCCUGUACUGCACGCAAACUGGCUGGGACCGCAUGUCCCUUUGAAUCAACACAGAAACACACAGGAGAGGGUUUCAGAGAGCAAAAUAGCAAAAAAGUGAAGAGAAAAGAAGAAAGUAUGGAGGGAGGAGGAAAUACUGUAAUAAGAGAGAAUCUGGGCUUUUAAAAGAGUCGGGUAAAGAGUAAAUGUAGAAAAGGAGGAAGCAAGGAGAAUAAAAGGAAAUUUGGUCAAGUGCUAAGAUUUGAUAUAUGGAGGAAAGAAGACAAAAGAAGUAGGAAGAGGAACAAAGGAAGGGAGGGGGAAAUAUAAAAAGAAAGAUGCAUUGAGAGUUAUGAAAAAAUAAUUAAGGUUGGUUAAAUAUAAAUUUACAUUAUAAAAGCAAGAACUCACUGCCAAGUACAGACACAGCCUGGUAUGUUGCAUUGAAGCCGCUGUCGGCCACGCCCUCAUCAGCCACAAACACCACAGUCAUGUGGGGGCCGGAGGAGGUCAGGUCUGGAGGGAAAGUGGUUCCACAAAACCUGAGACAAAGGCAGAGGAGACAAAAGAUGCUUCCGAAUACCGGUAAUACAAGCAGGACACAAUUUUACCCUCCACACACAGGGGGUAAACAACAAAGACAUGAUAACUGGAGUCUCAGUUGCCGUCCAGGUGGCUGUGGUGCGUCUCACCUUCCCAACACUCUUCCAGCUCCAGUGGUGACGCUGUCGUGCACUUCCACGUAGUCAAACUCACACACGUCCUGAGUUUCCAGGCUGAAGUUCCUGAAGCUCAGUGUGAUGACGUGACCUUCCUCAACAGAUAUGUACCAUAUGCACAGCUGAUGGGAAACAGAAGAAUGCCAGAUUGUUGAAAAAUACGUAAACACAGUCCUCACACAGCCGGUUUGGAGUGUGUUUGACGGUCUAAUGUGGUUAAAAUUGUACCUGCUGGUGCGGAUAAGGUCUGGGGUGGUUUGGACUUGCCAGAUAACCAUAGGACCCAGUCUUCUGCCCACCACAUUCUGUGAGAAAAAACAGAGUGGAAACAAUGUCCAUGACUUCACGCUUGUUGUCUUUAAAAUGUGCAUAACUUC